RNAcentral lists this long non-coding RNA (547 nucleotides) under Mytilus galloprovincialis (Mediterranean mussel). The record is from RNAcentral. Lineage: Eukaryota; Metazoa; Mollusca; Bivalvia; Mytilida; Mytilidae.
GAUAGAGCAGAUUGUUACCCCGAGAAAACAUUGUCAACUGAGGCGAAGCCGAGGUUGACAAUGUCUUUUCGAGGGGUAACAAUCUGCUCUAUCACCCUCUCAGAUAUGUGUUAUUUAAUUUAUUAUACUGAAUGUUCUGUUAUUACUGUCGAUUAAAUUUAAAAUUCAAAGUAAUAAACUAUGACAUCUUGUACAUAACCAUCCGUAUUUAAUAAAGCGCACACUUGAUCAAACGUCUCCGUGAAGGGUAAUAGAGUAUUUGCCAUAGGAUAGAGUCGUAUUUAAUAAAGCGCACACUUGAUCAAGCGUCUCUGUGAAGGGUGAUAGAGUAUUUGUCAUAGGAAAGAGUCGUGUUUAAUAAAGCGCACACUUGAUCAAGCGUCUUCAUGAAGGGUAACAGUAAAUUGACACCCUCGUAUUAGCCAAUAAAAAUCUGGCAUUUUGACAUGAAGUAUAAUAAAAUGAAAUGUACAUAUUUACCUGUUGAAACCGACCGUGCAAGGGCUGUAUAGCCAGUCAAGGUCGUUAAAAACUUCCAUUUGUUUGA